UACGUAGGGGGCAAGCGUUAUCCGGAUUUACUGGGUGUAAAGGGGGCGCAGACGGCAAUGCAAGCCAGGAGUGAAAGCCCGGGGCCCAACCCCGGGACUGCUCUUGGAACUGCAUGGCUGGAGUACAGGAGGGGCAGGCGGAAUUCCUAGUGUAGCGGUGAAAUGCGUAGAUAUUAGGAGGAACACCGGUGGCGGAGGCGGCCUGCUGGACUGUGACUGACGUUGAGGCCCGAAGGCGUGGGGAGCAAACAGG
This 253-nucleotide ribosomal RNA is filed under the name uncultured bacterium. RNAcentral's name for it is "partial 16S ribosomal RNA". It matches the Rfam family "Bacterial small subunit ribosomal RNA", at positions 524 to 776 of the family's 1533-position model. The record is from RNAcentral.